UAAACAGCCCUCUGCUUAUUCCAGAGGUGUCGGCCCUUGCACUGGGGGCCGAGGAGUUGAGUGGGGAGUUUUUGUACAUCAAGCAGGCAUACUCUUUAGUCUGACAAGUACAUACAAGAAGUUUUGCCCUAUUUGUGAGCGAUGGCGACGUACCAGGAGUUUAUCCAGCAGCAGGAGGACCGGGACGGCGUGCGCCUGACGUGGAACGUCUGGCCGUCCAGCCGGCUGGAGGCCACGCGCCUGGUAGUGCCCGUGUCGGCACUCUAUACCCCGCUCAAGGAGAGGCCAGACCUCCAGCCGGUGCAGUAUGAUCCCGUGGUGUGCACGCGCACCAACUGUCGCGCCAUCCUCAAUCCGUGCUGCCAGGUGGACUACCGCGCCAAAAUCUGGGUCUGCAACUUCUGCUUUCAGCGUAACCAGUUUCCACCGCAGUACGCCUCCAUCACGGAGCAGCACCAGCCGGCCGAGCUGAUCCCGCAGUUCUCCACCAUCGAGUACACCAUCACGCGGGCGCAGUGUAUGCCGCCCAUCUUCCUGCUGGUGGUGGACACGUGUGUGGACGAGGACGAGCUGGCGGCACUGAAGGAGUCGCUGCAGAUGUCGCUCAGCCUGAUGCCACCCAACGCGCUCGUCGGCCUCAUCACCUUCGGCAAGAUGGUCCAGGUGCACGAGCUGGGCUGCGACGGCUGCUCCAAGUCGUUCGUGUUCCGCGGCACCAAGGACGUGACGGCGCGCCAGGUGCAGGACAUGCUGGGGAUCGGACGCGGCGGCGCGCCGCAGCAGGCGCGCGCGCCACAGCAGCCCGGCCAGCCGCAGCAGCCGCAGCAGCAGCAGGCGCAGCUCAAUAGAUUCUUGCAGCCGCUGCACAAGUGCGACAGCAACUUGACGGACCUGCUGGGCGAGCUGCAGCGCGACCCGUGGCCGGUGCCGCAGGCCAAACGUCCGCUGCGCUCAACCGGCGCCGCGCUCUCCAUCGCCGUCAGUCUGCUCGAGGUGUCAUUAGGGAUUGACUCCUCCUCUAAGGAGCCGUUCGCGAGGUGCACAUUCCCCAACUCUGGUGGGCGGAUCAUGCUGUUCGUGGGCGGCGCGUGCUCCCAGGGACCGGGCAUGGUGCUCAACGAUGAUCUCAAGAACCCCAUCAGGUCGCACAACGACAUCGAGAAGGACAACGCCAAGUACAUGAAGAAGGCCAUCAAGCACUACGAGGCGCUGGCGGGCCGCGCGGCCAACAAUGGCCACGCCGUGGACAUCUACAGCUGCGCCCUGGACCAGACCGGCCUCAUGGAGAUGAAGUACUGCUGCAACCUCAGCGGGGGUCACAUGGUGAUGGGCGACUCCUUCAACUCGUCGCUGUUCAAGCAGACCUUCCAGCGGGUGUUCGCGAAGGAUCAGCGUAACGAGUACAAGAUGGCCUUCAACGCCGUGGUGGAGGUGAAGACCUCCCGGGAGAUCAAGGUGUCGGGCUGCCUGGGACCGUGCGUGUCGAUGAACAACAAGGCGCCGAACGUGGGCGAGACCGAGGUGGGCGUGGGCGGCACGUCCCAGUGGAAGUUCUGCUCGCUGACGCCCAACACCACGCCCGUCAUCGUGCUGGAGGUGGUCAACCAGCACGGGGCGCCGAUCCCGCAGGGCGGCCGCGGCUGCCUGCAGUUCAUCACGCAGUACCAGCACUCUAGCGGCCAGAAGCGGGUCCGCGUCACCACCAUCGCCAGGAACUGGGCCGACGCCACCACGGGCAUGCAGCACAUCUCGGCCGGCUUCGACUCGGAGGCGGCGGCUGUCACCAUGGGCCGGAUGGCCGUGUGGAGGGCCGAGAGCGCCGACGGUCGGGACGUGCUUCGCUGGGUGGACCGCAUGCUGAUCCGGCUGGUGCAGAAGUUCGGCGAGUACAACAAGGACGACCCCAACAGCUUCCGGCUGUCUGAGAAUUUCAGCCUGUACCCGCAGUUCAUGUUCCACCUGCGUCGCUCGCCGUUCCUGCAGGUGUUCAACAACUCACCCGACGAGACGAGCUUCUACCGGCACAUGCUGAUGCGGGAGGACCUGACGCAGAGCCUGAUCAUGAUCCAGCCGAUCCUGUACAGCUACAGCUUCAACGGGCCGCCGGAGCCGGUGCUGCUCGACACGAGCAGCAUCCAGCCGGACCGCAUCCUGCUGAUGGACACGUUCUUCCAGAUCCUCAUAUUCCACGGCGAGACGAUUGCGCAGUGGCGCGCCGCCAAGUACCAGGAGCUGCCCGAGUACGAGAACUUCAAGCAGCUGCUGGAGGCGCCAGUGGACGAUGCGCAAGAGAUCCUGCAGACGCGCUUCCCGAUGCCGCGCUACAUCGACACGGAACAGGGCCACUCGCAGGCGCGGUUCCUGCUGCACAAGGUGAACCCGUCGCAGACGCACAACAACAUGUACGCCUACGGCGGCCAGGACGUGGCUAUCAGCUCAUCAGGGGAGGGCGGAGCACCGGUGCUCACCGACGACGUCAGCCUGCAGGUGUUCAUGGAGCACCUCAAGAAGCUGGCCGUCUCCUCUCAGGCCUAGGAGGCCUCCCCUGCAGCUGCGGCGCCCGUCCGAUGAGACGUGGCCAGCGGUGGUGCUGGUCCAGUGGGACGACAGCGGUGGUGCUGGCCCAGUGACUUGGUUCAGCUAUUGCCCAGUGACAAGCGAUCAGCUGCACUGGGGUCGACGAUUCAGUAGCGUGUGAUCUGGCUGCGAGACGGUGCUGUUUUGUUGGAUGUGGGUAACGUGUGAUGUGAACUGCUGUUUAUUAGUAGAUUUUCAAUCUCGCUCGUGCUAUACUUUAUCGUACAGUUAGACGCCUACAACAGUAUGAAUAUACUUUGC
Molecule: unclassified non-coding RNA, 2838 nt
Filed under: Pollicipes pollicipes
Lineage: Eukaryota; Metazoa; Arthropoda; Thecostraca; Pollicipedomorpha; Pollicipedidae
Description: protein transport protein Sec23A-like, transcript variant X5
Source: RNAcentral